RNAcentral lists this ribosomal RNA (274 nucleotides) under uncultured bacterium. RNAcentral describes it as "partial 16S ribosomal RNA". It matches the Rfam family "Bacterial small subunit ribosomal RNA", at positions 523 to 796 of the family's 1533-position model. The record is from RNAcentral.
AUACGGAGGGGGUUAGCGUUGUUCGGAAUUACUGGGCGUAAAGCGUACGUAGGCGGACUGGAAAGUUGGGGGUGAAAUCCCGGGGCUCAACCCCGGAACUGCCUCCAAAACUUCCAAUCUAGAGAUCGAGAGAGGUGAGUGGAAUUCCAAGUGUAGAGGUGAAAUUCGUAGAUAUUUGGAGGAACACCAGUGGCGAAGGCGGCUCACUGGCUCGAUACUGACGCUGAGGUGCGAAAGCGUGGGGAGCAAACAGGAUUAGAAACCCUAGUAGUCC